GAGUUAGGUUAAUUCUAGACCCAGAACCUUCAAAGUUCUAAGCAAGCAAGAUAGCUUACCCUCUG
This 65-nucleotide transfer RNA is filed under the name Potamogale velox. RNAcentral describes it as "tRNA-Trp". The record is from RNAcentral. Lineage: Eukaryota; Metazoa; Chordata; Mammalia; Afrosoricida; Tenrecidae.